RNAcentral lists this ribosomal RNA (441 nucleotides) under uncultured bacterium. Its description in RNAcentral is "partial 16S ribosomal RNA". It matches the Rfam family "Bacterial small subunit ribosomal RNA", at positions 338 to 795 of the family's 1533-position model. The record is from RNAcentral.
CCUACGGGAGGCAGCAGUGGGGGAUAUUGCACAAUGGGGGGAACCCUGAUGCAGCGACGCCGCGUGGGUGAAGGAGUGCUUCGGCAUGUAAAGCCCUAUCGGCAGGGAAGAAGCAAGACGGUACCUGACUAAGAAGCCCCGGCUAACUACGUGCCAGCAGCCGCGGUAAUACGUAGGGGGCGAGCGUUAUCCGGAUUCACUGGGUGGAAAGGGAGCGUAGACGGCCAUGCAAGCCAGGGGUGAAAGCCCGGGGCCCAACCCCGGGACUGCCCUUGGGACCGGAUGGCUGGAGUGCGGGAGGGGCAGGCGGAAGUCCUGGUGUAGCGGUGAAAUGCGUAGAUAUCAGGAGGAACACCGGCGGCGAAGGCGGCCUGCUGGACCGCGACUGACGUUGAGGCUCGAAAGCGUGGGGAGCGAACAGGAUUAGAUACCCGUGUAGUC